UAGUGUUGAGUUUCAUUGCAGGGACAAAAUGGUCCCAAGAAAAGAUGAAAGUCCAAAAGAUUAUUACAAAUGUAUGGGAUAUUUUUCAACCACUUCUUUUUGGUUUAGUUGGAGCAGAAGUAUCUGUUUCAUCGCUUGAAUCAAAUAUUGUUGGCUGUGUUAGGUCCUCUGGCUCUAGAAACAGCAAGAGUCUCUGCACCCCACUUGGAACCAUAUGCGAAGGAUGUGAUGUCAGUAGCAUUUUUAGCCAUCUCGAUCACAGCUCCAAAUGGAGCUCUACUUAUGGGCAUUCUGGGGCCUAAAAUGCUUACACGCCAUUAUGAUCCAAGCAAAAUAAAACUGCAAUUGUCAACAUUAGAACAUCAUUAAAAAGUUUACCUGUCAUCAUC
This 389-nucleotide long non-coding RNA is filed under the name Homo sapiens (human). RNAcentral's name for it is "non-protein coding lnc-ZNF25-9:7". Lineage: Eukaryota; Metazoa; Chordata; Mammalia; Primates; Hominidae. The record is from RNAcentral.